AUUGAACGCUGGCGGCAUGCUUUACACAUGCAAGUCGAACGGUAACAGGGAGCUUGCUCCGCUGACGAGUGGCGAACGGGUGAGUAAUGCAUCGGAACGUACCGUGUAAUGGGGGAUAACGUAGCGAAAGUUACGCUAAUACCGCAUACGCCCUGAGGGGGAAAGUGGGGGACCGCAAGGCCUCACGUUAUACGAGCGGCCGAUGUCGGAUUAGCUAGUUGGUGGGGUAAAGGCCUACCAAGGCGACGAUCCGUAGCGGGUCUGAGAGGAUGAUCCGCCACACUGGGACUGAGACACGGCCCAGACUCCUACGGGAGGCAGCAGUGGGGAAUUUUGGACAAUGGGGGCAACCCUGAUCCAGCCAUGCCGCGUGAGUGAAGAAGGCCUUCGGGUUGUAAAGCUCUUUCAGGUGGAAAGAAAUCUCCCGGGUGAAUACCCUGGGAGGAUGACGGUACCAUCAGAAGAAGCACCGGCUAACUACGUGCCAGCAGCCGCGGUAAAGUA
RNAcentral lists this ribosomal RNA (504 nucleotides) under uncultured bacterium. RNAcentral describes it as "bacterial SSU rRNA". It matches the Rfam family "Bacterial small subunit ribosomal RNA", at positions 29 to 527 of the family's 1533-position model. The record is from RNAcentral.